UUCCAGACUCCUACGGGAGGCAGCAGUGGGGAAUAUUGCACAAUGGGGGAAACCCUGAUGCAGCAACGCCGCGUGAGUGAAGAAGUAUUUCGGUAUGUAAAGCUCUAUCAGCAGGGAAGAAAAUGACGGUACCUGAAGAAGAAGCCCCGGCUAACUACGUGCCAGCAGCCGCGGUAAUACGUAGGGGGCAAGCGUUAUCCGGAUUUACUGGGUGUAAAGGGGGCGCAGACGGCGAUGCAAGCCAGGAGUGAAAGCCCGGGGCCCAACCCCGGGACUGCUCUUGGAACUGCGUGGCUGGAGUGCAGGAGGGGCAGGCGGAAUUCCUGGUGUAGCGGUGAAAUGCGUAGAUAUCAGGAGGAACACCGGUGGCGAAGGCGGCCUGCUGGACUGCAACUGACGUUGAGGCCCGAAAGCGUGGGGAGCAAACAGGAUUAGAUACCCUCGUAC
Molecule: ribosomal RNA, 447 nt
Filed under: uncultured bacterium
Lineage: Bacteria
Description: bacterial SSU rRNA
Rfam family: Bacterial small subunit ribosomal RNA
Source: RNAcentral